AUAAACAUUAUUUGCAUUUAGUAUAAUUCUUAACAAGAAAUUUUAAGUAUUCAAUGAUCAGAAAUUUUGCACUGAGAAAAAUAGAAAUGUUAAGAUAUUUGUUGUUUAAAAAUUUAGCAGAGAGGGAGAUGUUGAUGGAGGUAUUCCUCUAGCUUAGGAAUAUAGUAUAUUCCUUAUAAUUAUUUUGCUUGUACCAACUUUGUUUUCAGCAUAUUUGAAGUGUCUUAAAGCACUGACACUUUCUUUCUCUCCACAUAAAUUCUAAUUUAUCAGGAGGUCCUUUCCUAAAUUAGGUAAAAUGUAGUGACAGUUUCGAAAAUACAUUCAAGUAUAAAACCAGUGGACCAAUGUUAUCUCAGGAUGAAAUCAUAGAUACAUACUUCAACAAAGGUGUACACAGGCUAAAGUGGGAAAGUGUAUUUUAGUUUUCAUCCAUUUCCAACAAUGAGAGGCGUGAAUGCUUAUGCAAUACAGAAAAAAUUCUCCUUUUUCAGUUCUAAUUUUUUAUCCUUAAAAAAUCUUUUGGGGUGAAUUCUUGAAUCACUGAUUUAUAUUAUUCUUUUAUUUCUUCUGCCUGCCUUCUCCUUCCCACUGUCUUUCACCCCUGCCCUCUGAAUCCUUCCCUGCCUCCUAGAAAUAGCCCUUAAUGCUCUUUUACCUCUCCUCAGCUAAGUCAAAUUUUUACUAGUAGAAGCAGGGUGAAUACUGUGAAGACUAUAUCCAAACUGAGAAACCUCUAGCUAAUUUGGUCUUGAAAAAACAAACUAUCCACUUCAAGCUGACCUGCUGUUUGGCAGCCGGAAAGCUAUUUACCAUAGCAAGCAUGAAACAUAUACGUUGUUAUGGUAUGCCAACCCCAGAUAUCCUCUCAGGCGGUCAGUCGUCUGUAUUACAUGGUCUUGGCAAUUUCAGACCUCACAUUUUGCUCUUUAUUUUAUUUCCAUUUGGACAAUACUCAGUUACCUUCUUAACCCAUUUGACAUCUGGAUUAUUAAAACCAAAUCCAUGGAGAAAAAUUCAAUUUCUGUUGGCACAGUAACAAGUGCUUUAGAUAUGUUACCUCAUUUAAUCUUUAUAUAAUGUGCAUAUAAUAUCCUCAUUUUGUAGAUGAGAAAAAUCAAGACCUAAUGUCUUUAAAUGAAUGAAGAAACUCAGUUUUUAAAAAUGUAUAUAUUUAAAGUAUACAACUUGAUGAUUUGCUGCCCUCUUAACAAAUUUCAAGUAUUGUUAUCUGUAGUCACGUUGCACAUGAGAUCGCCCAAGAACCAGAGAAUUGAAGUAAAGUGUCCAAGGUCAAAUAGUUAAUGGCAAAGCUGGGAUUAAACAUAAGUUUAUAAUUCCAAAGUCUAUGCCCUUUACCUGUAUCAUCAAUCAAUAACUGUUCAUCAGUGAAGUCAACUGUAUGUCUAUUCUUUAUACCUCAGUUUUGGCAUAUGCAUUGUACAGAUCCACAUUAAAUGAUUUGAUCUGUGUUUCACUUCUGUCUGUAAAAUGGGUAUAAAGAGACCUACUUUGUUGGAUUAUUAUCAGAAUCAAAUGAGAAAACAUACAUGUAAAGUAUGUGCCUGACGCAAAGUCAGUCCUUGAUAACCUGUAGCUAUCAUUGUUAUCAGAGAAAAGAAAAAUACAGACAUAUAAAUCCUAUGUUUGUUCUCUAGAAUUGAUGAAAUCAAAAGUUAAGUCUAUAAAUAUCUGACCUGUCUAUUUGUUACCAUGAUUAUUGGAGACAUUUGCCAUUUCUUCAGUAGUGCAAGUUAUUAGUUACCAUAUAAUAGCCACAAAAACCAAGGUGAUAGACCUACUUUCAUUAUUCAAAACAUGUAGGAAAAAUUGUAUACAGUUUUAGGCACAACACUCUAAAGGGAACAUUGAAAACUUGAAGCAGGUCAAGAAGAAAAAAACUGAGGUAUUGAGAAAACUUGAAAUUAUGUUGUAGGAAGAAUGUUGGAGGAACUGCAGAUGUUUACCUGCGAGAAGAGUGAAGGGAUGGGAGGGAAGAGGUGAGGAAGUAGACAUGGAAAUUACUGUGUGGAUAUUUGCAAGGCUGCUACUAUGUAGGAGACUUAUUUUUUAUGACUGGGUUGGCAGAACUGCCCAAAGACAGAUUUUUGUCUUAAUUUAAGGAAAAACUUGUCCCUUAGAACUGUCUGACAAAAGGAAUGGAGAAAUGGGCUGCCUCUGGAGUAGUGAGUGUUCCAGCAGGGAUUGGAUUGGCACUUGUUAUUGGAGGUGUUGCAGUGAAGGUUCAUUCAUUGGAUAAGUGUUGGAUUAAAUGACCUCCAGGUUCCCCUUUCAACUCAGAAAGUCAGUGACUUAAAUUCUGAUCCCUACUUACCAAUAAUUACUGAAUACAUUUGACAGUGAUGCAUUCUUUUGUGUUGCCUGUUCUUCCAAUUGUUAUUUCCUUGGUAACACCCCUCCCGCCCCUGGCAGGUUGUAACAGUUAUGAUAGCAAUGAUUUGUAGUGACUGCCAACCCUCAGGGAACCAGGAUACUAUAGAUUCAUAGGGUUAUAAGGGAACUUAAAGGUCAUUUAGUCCAGUCUUGUAGACUUGAUUCUCUAGGGAUAUCUGGCCACUUUUUUAGUGGGUAUUUUUAAAGACAGUUAGUUUAUAAUGUUACUCUAAACUGACUUGAUUUUUUAGUAAAAUUGACUGGUAUCAGAAAACUGGUGUAAGAAAGCUGGCAUGUGGGAAGUACUCUUGGAAGGGAACAAGAUAACAGCUGUCCACUUCUAAAGGUCUUGUAGGUUUUGUUCUCUGGCAUCAUUAACAUUAGCAGAGUAAUACAAUAGUAAUAACCUUACUAGGCCUAAUUAGUUUUUUUCUGCUUUCCUUAUCUCAUAUUAGUGAGUUUUCAUAAAAAUAAGAGAAGAUUUUAAUGCUUUUUUUCCCUCACAUUGUCAAUUUGGGACACUGGCCAUUCCAGUGAUGGCUGUCAUUGAGCCAGGAAUCUUGUUUUCAAGAUUAAAAUUUUAUCGUUUGUAUGUAGAUCAUUAGAAUACAAAAUGCCCUCCCCCCCUUUUGCCAUUUUUGCUAGAAUUGGUGUCAGAAUAGAUUCAGUUAGGAGCAAAGUUCAGACACACAUGUUGAUUCAGGGAUCAGAGUCCAACAGGUAAAAGGCUAGAACUACCGUAACAAAUCAAUGCUGUUUUAUUUUUAUGUUGUGUUUAACUAAAGGACAUUCUGUAUUGACAGGCCACAUUUGUGCCGUUUCUUUUUUAGACUAAUAAUCAUUAUUGGAGAGGAAUUGUUUGCUAAUGUAACUACUUUGUGGAUUAUAGUGUUAUUGUCUGAUAAUUUUUCAGUAUUUUUAAAUUUUUAGUUGACUAAUACAGGUGAUUUAUUUGAAACAUGUCUAUUUUGUCAUCUUUAAUAAAGUGUCUUUAUUGUUUUUACUGAUUUUGAAGGUAAUUCAUGCUCAUUGUUUAAAAUACAAACAAUUUGAAAAUGUUUAAAAUAGAAAGUAAAAGUAUUCCAGGCCCACAGGUGAUAUAAUCACUGUUAAAUUUGGUUGGCUUUUGCAAACUUACAAUACAUAUAUAAAAUUACAUGUAUGUAUAUAAUGUGCAUAUGUUUUUAACAUAUCUAUUAUACUAUGCAUACUUUUUGUAACUUUUUAAAAAUUUGAUAUAGAAUGGACAUUUUUCUAUUGCAGUACAUACAGAUAUGCUAAUGUUUUUAAACAGCUGUAUAGUAUUUAUUUAACCAGUCCUUAAUCCCUAAUUGGUGGGGAAUUAGGUUGUUUUUUUGUUGUUGUUACACAGUGUGCAUCUUUGUACAUAUGUAUCAGAGGUGCUUAUUUAUGUAUGUAAGUAAUCAAAUUCCUAAAAGCAGCAUUGCUGGUCAAAGGGUAUGUGUUUUAAACUGAUCUAUAUUGUCAGAUUUUUCUCCAGAAAAAGGUUUAGAGAAUUUUCACUCCCAGCAAUGUGUGAGAAUGCCAGUUUCUUCACUGAAACAGGCUUCUUCUCAUUAUGUAAUCAGCAUUGGUUUUUUUAAAAUGUCUGACAAUUUUUUUAAAAAUAAUUUUACUAGCUGGUCUUACAUACUAGCUCAGUUCUUAAGGUGCUAAUCCUAAUGUAAACAUGUUCUCUACAAAUGUAAAUCUUAACUUGCCUGUCUUCUGUGUAACCAAGAAAAAGAAGAAACUAGAUCAGAAACAACUAUAUUGCAAGAGAUAAUUCACUUAUAAGAGUUAAUAGUGGAAUUGCUACUUUAACUCAGUGUAACUUAGAGAAGUUUCGAUGAGACUUAAAUCCUCGGCCUUUUUGCUGAGACUCUUUGGUAUCCCUUGGCUUAUUUAUAUAUGUUUUAAAAGAAUUUAUUGUACCUGUGAGAGUGAAUUAAAUUUCUAGAGAGCCAUAAAAGUUGAAGCUGAGUUAAAUAAAAAGUUAAUUGUAUUGGCGAAUAAUUCAAAAUGUGUUUUAAGUAUAAUAGACUUUUAAAAAUCAUCUCUUUUAAAUGAACAGGAAACUCUGAUGAGGAAGAAAGUGCUUCAGAAUCUGAACUUUGGAAGGGUCCACUACCAGAGACAGAUGAAAAAUCACAGGAAGAAGAAUUUGAUGAGUAUUUUCAGGAUUUGUUUCUAUGAGACGAGAGAGAGAAGCCUCCGCUCCUUAAUGUGAAACUUCAUGAAGUUUUAAACUUCAUGCAAUUUGAAAUUCCAUAUAAGUUUUUAUCUGCAAGUUACAGAUUGUGUGGUUUGUCUUUGGAAAUAAAAAUCCAGGUUCUGUCAGAAUGUCAGAUGCUUUGGAAGUUCAUUAGUUCAAUUAAAGACUUUCCUGUCCUUUAAG
This 4792-nucleotide small RNA is filed under the name Pongo abelii (Sumatran orangutan). RNAcentral describes it as "processed transcript". Lineage: Eukaryota; Metazoa; Chordata; Mammalia; Primates; Hominidae. The record is from RNAcentral.